UUUACCGUGUAAAGGUAGCAUAAUCAAUUGUUUUUUAAUUGAAGGCUUGAAUGAAUGGUUGUAUGAGAUAUAAACUAUUUUUAUUUUAAUAAAAUGAAUUUAAAAUUUUAGUAAAAAUGCUAAAAUUAAAAUAUUAGACGAGAAGACCCUAUAGAUCUUUAUUUAAAUUUUUAUUUAAAAAUAUUGAAUAAUUUAUUUUAAUUUAAAAUUUAAAUUUUAUUGGGGCGAUAAUGAAAUUUUAAAAACUUUUAUUUAAAAUAAUAAAAAUAAUUAAUUUUUUGAUCCAUUAAUAAUGAUUAAAAGUUUAAGUUACCUUAGGGAUAACAGCAUAAUUAUUUUAAAAAGUUCUUAUUAAUAAAAUAGAUUAUGACCUCGAUGGUACAAUGCGAUAAGUGUAUCAAAGUGACGACGAAAUCCA
RNAcentral lists this ribosomal RNA (418 nucleotides) under Culicoides trifasciellus. RNAcentral describes it as "partial 16S ribosomal RNA". Lineage: Eukaryota; Metazoa; Arthropoda; Insecta; Diptera; Ceratopogonidae. The record is from RNAcentral.